GGUGUUGUUGGGUAGGGGAGCGUUCUGUAAGCCUGUGAAGGUGGCCUGUGAGGGUUGCUGGAGGUAUCAGAAGUGCGAAUGCUGACAUAAGUAACGAUAAAGCGGGUGAAAAGCCCGCUCGCCGGAAGACCAAGGGUUCCUGUCCAACGUUAAUCGGGGCAGGGUGAGUCGACCCCUAAGGCGAGGCCGAAAGGCGUAGUCGAUGGGAAACGGGUUAAUAUUCCCGUACUUGGUGUUACUGCGAAGGGGGGACGGAGAAGGCUAUGUUGGCCGGGCGACGGUUGUCCCGGUUUAAGCGUGUAGGUGUGUGUUCCAGGUAAAUCCGGUUCACUUUAACACUGAGGCGUGAUGACGAGGCACUACGGUGCUGAAGCAACAAAUGCCCUGCUUCCAGGAAAAGCCUCUAAGCAUCAGGUAACAUCAAAUCGUACCCCAAACCGACACAGGUGGUCAGGUAGAGAAUACCAAGGCGCUUGAGAGAACUCGGGUGAAGGAACUAGGCAAAAUGGUGCCGUAACUUCGGGAGAAGGCACGCUGACAUGUAGGUGAAGUGAUUUACUCA
Molecule: ribosomal RNA, 562 nt
Filed under: Salmonella enterica subsp. enterica serovar Derby
Lineage: Bacteria; Pseudomonadati; Pseudomonadota; Gammaproteobacteria; Enterobacterales; Enterobacteriaceae
Description: partial 23S ribosomal RNA
Rfam family: Bacterial large subunit ribosomal RNA
Source: RNAcentral